UCCGUGGAGUACAGAGCAGAAGCGAUUGCGGUCUCUGGGAGAUUUAGCAUCCUUCGCAAUCCUUGUAGAGUAUACAUAGGUUUCGUAAACUAUUCCAGAAUUAAAUAUCUGCACUAUCAAAGCUAUUGAAUGGUGUGCGUUUUGCGUCCACCAGCCCAGAAUUAAAGGGCUUGCGAGAUAAAAAAAAAAGUCGUUCCCCUUGCUUGCUAAGGGUCCGUCUCGAUUGGCGCUCGUUAGUCGAGCUGUAUCCAGCAGCAGCGCAUUCAUCCGUUUUUUUGUAUGCAAGUUGAGAAAAUAAGUUGAUCAGUGUAAAUGCUGCCAUUCCAGCCCGCACUGUAGGCGCGAAAUAAUUUGCGUCGCAAUGAGACCGCAGUCACUCGUUUAGGCCUCGUUUUCGCAAAUCCAAUAUGGAGGAAGCGCCACUGCGUCAGUGUAUUAUGCUGUUGUGAAGGGCCCCAUCGGAUCGUCCGGUCAUGGAUACGUGACGACGGCUCGUCUCAUCGACCACCAGCCACGAUGCGGGGAUCCGAAGAACGUUCGGCACGUUCCCGCGCCAAAGUGAAGGAGAAAGCUCGCAGUCCCGAGGAGAGCCGCCGCGUGAGCAGCAAGUCUCGGCACUCGUCCCAGAGCAGCAGUCAUCGAAAGCACAAGAAGAGCCAUCGGUCGCACCGACGAAAGCAUGCAACGCGCGACUCGGAGCGAGCCGUCAUUGCCACCAAGCCGCUGGUCGAGUACGACGAUGUGAGUUCGGACUCCUCGCUGUUCUCGGAUGACGGCGGAGCGCCCGCCGAACACCUGUACCCGGCGUCUCCGCUGCCGGUGUCUUCCUCAAGCCGGCACGGCGCGGAACGGCAGCCUGAGCGAACCGACAGUGGCAGCAACAAGCGGCGGCACUCUUCGCGGCACAAGGUGAGCGAUACCAAAGAGAGCACGAGUUCCUCGCGCUCUUCGAGUCGGCGUAACCACAGCGAACGGCCACCGUCUCCUCCGCCUCCACCGCCGUCCUCGUCGCGUUCGUCGCGGGACUACUCGACGUCGAGCGGCUACUAUGAACGAGACGUGAUGAAGGACUACGCGAGUAGCCGAACCUAUAUGAGUGCUUACAGGGAAUCGUCGGGCGUGCUGGACCCGUACUAUGGUGUGUCGGACUCUCAUGGCGACUGCUACGGCAGUCGCUCGAGCGGCAGUCGUAAACGGUCCCUGUCGCCGGACCAUCCGCGUGCCUACAAGAGCAGCGGUCGCAGCCCGGCGAGCUCGCCCAGCCCGCCGCCUAGCCGUUCGGCCAAGCGGCGGAAAUCUCCAACAUCCGACGCCCGCGAGAAAGACCGGCCAUCGCGGAACUAUUCGCCCAACAAUUCCUCUAGUCUCUACUCGUCGUCGCGCAAGGCCUCCGCGUACUCGCGAAGUCGGAGCAGAAGCCCUGUCAGGUCCAGGCGUUCCCGAAGAUCCAGAAGCCGUUCACGGAGCCCCCCUCCCCAGCGCCCUAGGGUUGGCCGAUCCCGGUCACCACCCUUGAGCCCUCCUGCGGCCUACCAGACGCAUCGACGGCGGGAGCGCAGCCCCAGCUACGAAACCAAGUUCGCCUCCACGAGUCUCGGUGCCGAGUUGCGCAAGCAUCGCAAAGGCCGCGAGCUUGAAAAGAGUCGUCACUCGGUCGGCAGCCGGGUAGCCCCACCGCCGCCGCCUCCCCCGCCGCCGCCUGCUGCGCCAUCCAAUGGGCCUGCUUCUUGUGCAGACAUCCCACCACCUCCUCUUCCACCACCACCCCCCAGCGAUCCUACGCAUCCACCACCACCGCCACCUGAAGCCCCACCUCUUCCUCCACUGCCCCCUCCCCCACCUGCUGCUGUGGUGCCACCCUCUGCAGAAGCUCCACCACCAGUGCCUCCCAAGGCACCCUCAAAGCCUUGCACACCCUCUGAAGGCUCCCCGGAGCUGGCCUCCUCGCCAGAAGAGGCAGCCACAGCACCAUCCCCUGGUGGCGGGGAGGACACCAGUGCUCCACACAGCAACAAUGGGAUGUUGGAAGAGGAGGAUGAGGGCAGCCUGGGUAGUGGGCGGUCAUCUGCCGAGCAGGUAUCCGCACAACCAAGCCCUACGCAGCCUGCAGCAGCACCACCCCAGCGCAAGAGCAUCAAGGAAUUGCCUAUGCCGCCUGGCAUGAAGGUGGAGGACGUAAUGUCACCCGAGGUGGCUGACCGGGAAGAAGGAUCGCCUCAGCUUACUCAACAGCAACAGCAGCAGCAGAUGAAGCAUGCAUUCACCAUGGCCACCCAGAGGGCAUUCUCUGCAACACCUGCUACCGGAACCCAGCCACCUCAAGGGGCAGCUGCUGCCUCCAUGCAGGUGUUUCGCAGGCCAAGGAUUCUGAACAAGCCUCCUUCUGAUGAUGAACGUUUUCCCAAUUGGGGCGAGCGCUGCGUGGAUGUUUUUGAUAUUGUGUGCCAGAUAGGAGAGGGCACCUAUGGACAAGUAUACAAAGCCAAAGAUAAGGACACCGGUGAACUGGUGGCCCUGAAGAAGGUGCGGCUAGAGAAUGAGAAGGAGGGCUUCCCCAUCACAGCUGUGCGAGAAAUCAAGAUUUUGCGUCAGCUCAACCACCCAAGCAUUGUCAACCUCAAAGAGAUUGUCACUGACAAACAGGAUGCCCUGGACUUUAAGAAGGACAAAGGGAAGGGAUCCUCCAUGACGUAUCCAGUGAGCCUCCCCUCCAUCCCCUGUGAGCAUCAAGGCCGUGUGCCACUGCCGGGCACGUGCACACGCGAAGACUGGGCCCUUAUGAAUCCCCGGCCCUGGGGAGGCGUUUGUAGCUCUGGAACAAGUGCUCCCUGUCCAUACCGGGAGCUCCAUGGGGCCGCGCCAUCUGGUGAAGGGGCAUUUUACUUGGUGUUUGAAUACAUGGACCACGACUUGAUGGGCUUGCUGGAAUCGGGGCUGGUGGACUUCAAUGAGCACCAUGUGGCCUCCUUCAUGCGUCAACUGCUGGACGGGCUUAGCUAUUGCCACCGAAGAAACUUCCUGCACCGUGACAUCAAAUGCUCGAACAUACUCAUGAACAACAGAGGCCAAAUUAAGCUGGCUGACUUUGGGCUGGCACGACUAUACAGUGCAGAAGACAAGGCACGGCCCUACACAAACAAGGUCAUUACACUCUGGUACCGACCGCCAGAACUACUUUUGGGAGAGGAGCGGUACGGACCUGCUAUUGAUGUCUGGAGCUGCGGGUGUAUCCUGGGUGAGCUGUUCACCCGCAAGCCAGUCUUCCAGGCCAACCAGGAGAUGGCCCAACUGGAGGCCAUCAGCAGGGUGUGUGGCACACCCUGUCCAGCCGUGUGGCCACGUGUCAUCCAGCUGCCCCACUGGGCCACCUUUCGACCUAAAAAGCAGCACCGGCGGCGGCUGCGCGAGGAGUUUUCCUUCCUGCCAGGUCCUGCUCUUGAUCUGCUGGACCAGAUGCUCGAACUGGACCCUGAGCGUCGCAUCACUGCCGAGGCAGCCCUGCGCUCCCCCUGGCUUGCCCAAGUGCGGCCCGAGCGUAUGGCCCCACCCGACCUCCCGCACUGGCAGGACUGCCACGAAAUGUGGUCCAAGCGUCGCAGGCGACAGCUUCGGCUAGAACAAGACAUGGCAGGCACAUCAUCGGGGCCCCUACCAUCCUCAGGCUUGCCCAUGAACCUGGGAGGAGGCGGCAACAGUGUGCAUUCGGCUCCGAGCACUCAGGACAUCUCUCGAGACGAUGGGCCCCCACUUGGUGGGCGGCCCUGUGUACUCGAUGAACCUGACAGUUGUAAGUCUGCCGACGGCUCUGACAGCAACCCGGCUGCGCCCAGUGUGAACAGCCAGCAACUGCAGACCAACCUCAACACCAUCACGGCUGCUUUCCAGAAGCAUGAAACUCUCAGCAUUGCCCAGCUAGCCAAUUUGCUUAACAUUAAGGUUGAUACCUCCACAAAGCAGCUUCUUGAAAACCUGAACAUGCAGCUACUGCUGGCAGCAGCUGCCAAGCAGGCCCAAAAGGUGCAGAUGGCCAGCCAUCAGAGCAGGCAGAUGCAGCAGCAGCAGCAGCAGCCGCAGCAAGUGCCUCCACCCCUUCAGCAGCACUCAACAACACCAUUGCAACACACCCAGCCAGCAGCACAGCAGCAGCAACAGCAGCAGCAGCCAUCCCCACAGCUUCUUGUGUCAUCCUCCAGGCCUCAAGCGGACAUGUCAAGGGUUGACGAAGUGGGCGGGGGCUUGGAGCAUACCAAUGAGACAGGAGGGGGCCGCCUAGCACGGCCACUGCAGGCACCUGUGCUGUCACCCCCACAGCCAUCGUCUCGCAGGCCACCACCAUCCCACCUUGUGGAGUCCCCCACACAUUCUAAGUGGAGGAGUGGCGAGUCCGUCCUACCUGCUGGCUCCUUGAGGCCACCUGUGCCACAGCACCCACUUCCACCUGCCUCCGACAUCCGGGGGCAGACCACCAGCCCUGGUGCCUACCUCUUCGACCGUGGGCCUUUGGGUCCACCCCUCCACAUGGAUGACACCCAUGGUGACCGUGCCCCUCCUGUGCUUCCUCGACGGAUUGAGGCCUCCACUGCGCACCGUGGAAGGCCACCGUCACCUCCCAUGCCUGUGCUUGGCCGAGGGUCAGGGGAUGCCACUUCAUACCAUCGGAGAGGACCACCCGACGACAGUUCGCCACCCUUUGAAUCCGUGGGUCUGUCUGGCAUGAGUUCCUCCGCUGCGCAACAACAGAGCUACACCACUUCAGGCGUCAAGGCUGCAUUGGCGCAGCUGCUGGAAGCGCAGGGCUUUCGCGUAAAGAAUCCCAGCAGCCACUCAGGUACUCCGGCGAAGGCAUCAAACAGCUGUGCUAGCUGAAAUGCUCUGCCCAUGGGUCUUCGACCAUGGAUGGCUUGACAUAGCUGUGGGAACCGCCGCUGGCUCCGCGAUUGGGCGAGGACUGGAACGGCGAUCCAGACCAGCUGGAUCCCCGGGAGCCUGAAGACUGCGACAUCAAGAGAAGAACAAGAGAAAUAAAUGGCAGGCAGCGGCAAAGUGCACAUGCAGUGCUCUGCCGCUUCACCGAGCCAGGCAACGGCGCUGCGCACUACAUCUCGGAGGCAGCUGUACGCCGACGUGUGCACCUUUUGCUCCAUUCUCAUUGUCACCUUCCAACAAAACUUACUGAGAAUGCUGCCAAACACACGAAAAGGUGCUGCCUGAUUGGCUGGUGGACAAGGUGCCACACACAAGCACAGCUGCCCAGGCUGUCUGCCCUGAAGUGACUGCGGAGGGUGGCAUUAUUCAUCAUCGGUGGCUCCCUGAAGGGAAAGGCAAGCACUGAGGAAAAAAAUGCAUGAUCCAGGAAAAUGUAGCGCCUAAUAAGCCAAAAAUAGUUGAAAACUCGCUAAAUAAAGCUCGCUAUCAGUGUCUGAA
This 5424-nucleotide unclassified non-coding RNA is filed under the name Dermacentor andersoni. RNAcentral's name for it is "cyclin-dependent kinase 12-like". Lineage: Eukaryota; Metazoa; Arthropoda; Arachnida; Ixodida; Ixodidae. The record is from RNAcentral.